This 99-nucleotide non-coding RNA is filed under the name chicken gut metagenome. RNAcentral describes it as "THF riboswitch". It matches the Rfam family "THF (Tetrahydrofolate) riboswitch aptamer". From Rfam's summary of the family: THF riboswitch presents a pseudoknot that joins P1-P2 and the loop of P3 and two THF binding. The record is from RNAcentral.
GCAGAAUAGGAGUGUGCGCGUUAAGUGCCGGGUGAACGGGGAGUUGUCACCCGGACGAAAAGCUUAAAUGCUUGCGGUGCACAUUCCGCAUCCCGCUGC